GACUUAUAAUAAUCUCAUGAA
RNAcentral lists this microRNA (21 nucleotides) under Arabidopsis lyrata. Its description in RNAcentral is "aly-miR400-3p". Its record names the gene aly-miR400-3p. The record is from miRBase by way of RNAcentral. Lineage: Eukaryota; Viridiplantae; Streptophyta; Magnoliopsida; Brassicales; Brassicaceae.